Molecule: RNA transcript, 863 nt
Organism: Pipra filicauda (Wire-tailed manakin)
Lineage: Eukaryota; Metazoa; Chordata; Aves; Passeriformes; Pipridae
Gene: CUNH8orf88
Gene name: chromosome unknown C8orf88 homolog
Exons: 7
Source: RefSeq, a predicted model, not a curated record
AGCCCCGCGCGAGGGCCGCCCCGCCCCGCCCGGCGUGAGGGAGGCACCGCCACAGCGGAGCCCACUGGGGUCGUGGGGCAGGGGCGCUGCUGACGGUCGAGCUGCUUUUUUUGAAGUGCAAUGUUUCAAAAUGUUGCAGAAGCAAAAAAGUUUAUUGGCAAAUCCCUUCAGCCAGCACGACCUGUGCAUCACCUGUCUUCUAAACAAGCAUCAGCCAUUGCAUUAAACGUUCAGACUGAGUUACCUGGCAGCACUGAAGUAUGUUUGCAGAGUAAGGUUAACUGGUCAUCUGAAAUGACUGAAGUGAAGAUCUUAACUCAAACUGUGAUGCUCUGUCAACCAAAACAACAUGAAUCAGGAGCAAAAAAAGAAAGGAUCCAAUACAGCAGAGAUUUCCUUCUGAAGCUUUCAAGUGUUUCUCUCUCUCAGAAGAAGCCAGAGUUUCUUCCUGAUCAUCCAGUUGUACUUGAGAAGCCAACUAGCCUGCCAAGUUGGUAAAACCUUCAAAAGACAGAUUGUGCAGUUCAGCUCUGUUACUUUUGUAUGUAACUGCCCCAGUUGGUAUUUGACAUCUUACUGUGGUAAAGAACAAACCUUUUAUUGACAUAUGCAAGAAGUGACAUGUUGUUUGGAAGAUCAGAAAUCCAUCAAUGAAGGAGCUACAUAUGAUGUAGGUCUUCAAAAUUUUUGAAGGUAUUUGGGUGCCUGCAGAUGGAAAUAGGACCCUGUGAAAUUUUAGAAAAUGCCUGUUUCUUCCUGUCAUUGCCCAAAUGCUUUAAGAGACAAACCUUUAAUUUGUAAUGCCUGAGAUGGUAAUAUGAUUACAGUGAAAAUAAAUAAUUUUGCAUAUUGCUGUGGCAGAA